RNAcentral lists this ribosomal RNA (499 nucleotides) under uncultured bacterium. RNAcentral's name for it is "partial 16S ribosomal RNA". It matches the Rfam family "Bacterial small subunit ribosomal RNA", at positions 28 to 523 of the family's 1533-position model. The record is from RNAcentral.
GAUGAACGCUGGCGGCGUGCCUAACACAUGCAAGUCGAGCGAGAAGUUUGAAAAAUGAGUUUUCGAGCAAGUGAUUCAAACGGAAAGCGGCGGACGGGUGAGUAACGCGUAGGCAACCUGCCCCGUGCAGAGGGACAGCCUCGGGAAACCGGGAUUAAGACCUCAUGAUAUCGGGUUAUCACAUGGUAAUCCGGUCAAAGAUUUAUCGGCAUGGGAUGGGCCUGCGUCUGAUUAGCUGGUUGGUGGGGUAACGGCCUACCAAGGCGACGAUCAGUAGCAGAACUGAGAGGUUCAUCUGCCACAUUGGAACUGAGACACGGUCCAAACUCCUACGGGAGGCAGCAGUGAGGAAUAUUGCACAAUGGGCGAAAGCCUGAUGCAGCGACGCCGCGUGAGCGAAGAAGGCCUUUGGGUCGUAAAGCUCUGUCCUUGGGGAAGAAACAAAUGACGGUACCCUUGGAGGAAGCCCCGGCUAACUACGUGCCAGCCGCCGCGGUAA